This 68-nucleotide transfer RNA is filed under the name Ostrinia palustralis. RNAcentral's name for it is "tRNA-Cys". The record is from RNAcentral. Lineage: Eukaryota; Metazoa; Arthropoda; Insecta; Lepidoptera; Crambidae.
AGUCUUAUAUUCAAUUAUGAUAUAAAAUUGCAAAUUUUAAGGUAUAAAUAAUAAAAUUAUUAAGGCUU